RNAcentral lists this transfer RNA (65 nucleotides) under Omophron limbatum. RNAcentral describes it as "tRNA-Ala". It matches the Rfam family "tRNA". Rfam says of the family: Transfer RNA (tRNA) molecules are approximately 80 nucleotides in length. Lineage: Eukaryota; Metazoa; Arthropoda; Insecta; Coleoptera; Carabidae. The record is from RNAcentral.
AGGAUAAUAGUUAAAAAUAAUAUUUGAUUUGCAUUCAAAAGGUGUUGAAUUAUCAACUUAUCUUU